GCCAGUUUGGCUCAGUGGGUAGAGCAUCAGCCCUCGGACUGAAGGGUCCCGGGUUCGAUUCCUGGCAAAGGCU
This 73-nucleotide transfer RNA is filed under the name Myotis davidii. It matches the Rfam family "tRNA". From Rfam's summary of the family: Transfer RNA (tRNA) molecules are approximately 80 nucleotides in length. Their secondary structure includes four short double-helical elements and three loops (D, anti-codon, and T loops). The record is from Rfam by way of RNAcentral. Lineage: Eukaryota; Metazoa; Chordata; Mammalia; Chiroptera; Vespertilionidae.